AGCGAUUCUCCUGCCUCAGCCUCCUGAGUAGCUGGGAUUACAGAAGAACAAAAUAGCGUAUAGACAGUGACACUUCAAAUACAUUACCCAAGAGUAUUUGCUGGAAUUCAACAGAGAAGUAACAGGAAACACCAAAUGUGGAGAAGGAGAAAGGAGAGACACAGCCUGCUGGUCAGGAUCAGCUGGGAGCCAGGAGUGACUUCCCAACAUAGAGGAUACAGAGAAAACUGCAGAAGACCCAGAAAAGCACAUCAUGGCAGUCUAAAAGUUCCACAUCUUUCACUUGCAGAAAAGCCUUCAGAUCUGUUUUUGCUUAAAGAGAAGUGACGGCAGACCAUUACCUGACCUACUGGACACUACUUCCCUCACUCCCUUCAGAGUCUGAGCUACAGGCAGAGCCUUCUGCUCCAAGCUCUGGCACCUUAAACUUUGUUUUUGGUAGUUAAGGACUUUGAGGUGUUGGGUGUUGAUCAAGUUUUCCUGAACAGUAAGUUAAGAAUUUCAGUUAUUUCAGGACAGUUAAUCUCAGUCCUGACUAAACCUGUUUGAUUUCAGUAGGGUGUUUUUUUUUGUUGUUGUUAUUUUUGAGACAGAGUCUUGCUCUGUCACCCAGGCUGGAGU
Long non-coding RNA from Cercocebus atys (sooty mangabey), 621 nucleotides. RefSeq lists it as uncharacterized. The record is from RefSeq and is a predicted model, not a curated record. The transcript has 4 exons. NCBI's taxonomy places the organism in Eukaryota, Metazoa, Chordata, Mammalia, Primates, Cercopithecidae.